RNAcentral lists this ribosomal RNA (264 nucleotides) under uncultured bacterium. Its description in RNAcentral is "partial 16S ribosomal RNA". It matches the Rfam family "Bacterial small subunit ribosomal RNA", at positions 793 to 1055 of the family's 1533-position model. The record is from RNAcentral.
GUCCACGCCCUAAACGAUGUCAACUGGGUGUUGGGGGAGCGAUUCCUCAGUACCGUAGCUAACGCGUGAAGUUGACCGCCUGGGGAGUACGGCCGCAAGGUUAAAACUCAAAGGAAUUGACGGGGACCCGCACAAGCGGUGGAUGAUGUGGAUUAAUUCGAUGCAACGCGAACAACCUUACCUACCCUUGACAUGUCCGGAAGCCUGCUGAAAGGUGGGUGUGCCCGAAAGGGAAUCGGAACACAGGUGCUGCAUGGCUGUCGU